UUAAGUCCCGCAACGAGCCGCAACCCUCGUCUUCAGUUGCCAUCAGGUAGGGCUGGGCACUCUGAAGGAAACUGCCGGUGACAAGCCGGAGGAAGGUGGGGAUGACGUCAAGUCCUCAUGGCCCUUACGGGCUGGGCUACACACGUGCUACAAUGGCGGUGACAGUGGGGCGCGAUCCCGCGAGGGUGAGCGAAUCUCAAAAAGCCGUCUCAGUUCGGAUUGCACUCUGCAACUCGAGUGCAUGAAGUCGGAAUCGCUAGUAAUCGCGGAUCAGCACGCCGCGGUGAAUACGUUCCCGGGCCUU
This 304-nucleotide ribosomal RNA is filed under the name uncultured Oleomonas sp. Its description in RNAcentral is "bacterial SSU rRNA". It matches the Rfam family "Bacterial small subunit ribosomal RNA", at positions 1080 to 1382 of the family's 1533-position model. Lineage: Bacteria; Pseudomonadati; Pseudomonadota; Alphaproteobacteria; Acetobacterales; Acetobacteraceae. The record is from RNAcentral.